AGGGAAUCUUCGGCAAUGGACGAAAGUCUGACCGAGCAACGCCGCGUGAGUGAAGAAGGUUUUCGGAUCGUAAAACUCUGUUGGUAGAGAAGAACGUUGGUGAGAGUGGAAAGCUCAUCAAGUGACGGUAACUACCCAGAAAGGGACGGCUAACUACGUGCCAGCAGCCGCGGUAAUACGUAGGUCCCGAGCGUUGUCCGGAUUUAUUGGGCGUAAAGCGAGCGCAGGUGGUUUAUUAAGUCUGGUGUAAAAGGCAGUGGCUCAACCAUUGUAUGCAUUGGAAACUGGUAGACUUGAGUGCAGGAGAGGAGAGUGGAAUUCCAUGUGUAGCGGUGAAAUGCGUAGAUAUAUGGAGGAACACCGGUGGCGAAAGCGGCUCUCUGGCCUGUAACUGACACUGAGGCUCGAAAGCGUGGGGAGCAAACAGGAUUAGAUAGCCC
RNAcentral lists this ribosomal RNA (440 nucleotides) under uncultured bacterium. RNAcentral's name for it is "partial 16S ribosomal RNA". It matches the Rfam family "Bacterial small subunit ribosomal RNA", at positions 356 to 788 of the family's 1533-position model. The record is from RNAcentral.